GUGGAACUCUGCAGCUCCUCCAGGGUUACCUUAGGUCUCUGUGCUGCCUCUCUGGUUAAUUCCCUCCUUGCCCGGUCCGUGAGUUUUGGUGGGUGGCUGUCUCUUGGCAGGUUUGCUGUUGUGCCAUGUUCUGUCCAUUUUGAUCAUGAUAGAAUUGAUGGUACUCCUGGGGAUCAUCAAAGAUUUGGAUAUUUUUUUAGAACCAAAACUUGACUUGUACUUCUCAACAACAUUGUCCCUUACUUGUUUGGACAGGUCCUUAGUCUUCAUGACAGUGUUUGGUUAGUGGUGCCUCUUGCUUAGGUGUUGCAGCCUCUGGGG
Non-coding RNA from Pelobates cultripes (western spadefoot toad), 321 nucleotides. The record is from the annotation of a GenBank genome assembly. Lineage: Eukaryota; Metazoa; Chordata; Amphibia; Anura; Pelobatidae.